Molecule: unclassified non-coding RNA, 210 nt
Filed under: fungal sp.
Lineage: Eukaryota; Fungi
Description: partial internal transcribed spacer region
Rfam family: Eukaryotic small subunit ribosomal RNA (bases 1-46)
Source: RNAcentral
AAGUCGUAACAAGGUAUCCGUAGGUGAACCUGCGGAUGGAUCAUUACCAAAGAUUUUUUCAAAGUCUUGUGAACUGUUUUGAACUACACUGUUGGGCUUACUCUAGGGCAAGCCCGGCGGUACCAUACACGUAUAUAACCCCAAACUGACGUCUACUUUAGUAGUAAAUCAAACUAAAGACAACUUUUAGCAACGGAUCUCUUGGCUCUC